Molecule: transfer-messenger RNA, 352 nt
Filed under: Kyrpidia tusciae
Lineage: Bacteria; Bacillati; Bacillota; Bacilli; Caryophanales; Alicyclobacillaceae
Description: Standard tmRNA
Rfam family: transfer-messenger RNA
About the family: Bacterial tmRNA, also known as 10Sa RNA or SsrA, is named for its dual tRNA and mRNA-like properties. Its role is to liberate the mRNA from a stalled ribosome.
Source: RNAcentral
GGGGGCGUAUUGGUUUCGACGGGGACUGUUCGAGCAUCGGCGGCGGGUCGUGGGGCUGCGGCCACGUACCAACGCGGGCGUAAAAGAAACGCGAACAAACAAGAACUCGCUCUGGCUGCUUAAUGCCGGACGUUCACCGAGCGGUCGCCCGCACCGCUUGGAUGGGCGCCAACUUCGCGGGCUGGUCGAAGCGCCUUUGCCUGUGGGCCUUUGACGAGAUAACAGCAGGCUAGCCCGAAAGAGAGCGUGUCGUUUCGCGCUCUGACGGCGAACCUCAGUAAAACGACUACACCCGUAGAAGCCGGUGUCGCGAGGUUCUCGGACAGGGGUUCGACUCCCCUCGCCUCCACCA